This 482-nucleotide ribosomal RNA is filed under the name uncultured bacterium. RNAcentral describes it as "partial 16S ribosomal RNA". It matches the Rfam family "Bacterial small subunit ribosomal RNA", at positions 30 to 507 of the family's 1533-position model. The record is from RNAcentral.
AUUGAACGCUGGCGGCAUGCCUUACACAUGCAAGUCGAACGGUAACGGGCCUUCGGGUGCCGACGAGUGGCGAACGGGUGAGUAAUACAUCGGAACGUGCCCGAUCGUGGGGGAUAACGAGGCGAAAGCUUUGCUAAUACCGCAUACGAUCUACGGAUGAAAGCAGGGGACCGCAAGGCCUUGCGCGGAUGGAGCGGCCGAUGGCAGAUUAGGUAGUUGGUGGGAUAAAAGCUUACCAAGCCGACGAUCUGUAGCUGGUCUGAGAGGAUGAUCAGCCACACUGGGACUGAGACACGGCCCAGACUCCUACGGGAGGCAGCAGUGGGGAAUUUUGGACAAUGGGCGCAAGCCUGAUCCAGCCAUGCCGCGUGCAGGAUGAAGGCCUUCGGGUUGUAAACUGCUUUUGUACGGAACGAAAAGCCUUCUUUUAAUACAGGAGGGUCAUGACGGUACCGUAAGAAUAAGCACCGGCUAACUACGUG